GGGGAAUAUUGCACAAUGGGCGAAAGCCUGAUGCAGCGACGCCGCGUGAGGGAUGACGGCCUUCGGGUUGUAAACCUCUUUCAGCAGGGAAGAAGCGAAAGUGACGGUACCUGCAGAAGAAGCACCGGCUAACUACGUGCCAGCAGCCGCGGUAAUACGUAGGGUGCGAGCGUUGUCCGGAAUUAUUGGGCGUAAAGAGCUUGUAGGCGGUUUGUCGCGUCUGCUGUGAAAAUCCGGGGCUCAACCCCGGACUUGCAGUGGGUACGGGCAGACUAGAGUGUGGUAGGGGAGACUGGAAUUCCUGGUGUAGCGGUGAAAUGCGCAGAUAUCAGGAGGAACACCGAUGGCGAAGGCAGGUCUCUGGGCCACUACUGACGCUGAGAAGCGAAAGCAUGGGGAGCGAACAGGAUUAGAUACCCUGGUAGUCCAUGCCGUAAACGUUGGGCGCUAGGUGUGGGACUCAUUCCACGAGUUCCGUGCCGCAGCUAACGCAUUAAGCGCCCCGCCUGGGGAGUACGGCCGCAAGGCUA
RNAcentral lists this ribosomal RNA (530 nucleotides) under uncultured bacterium. RNAcentral's name for it is "bacterial SSU rRNA". It matches the Rfam family "Bacterial small subunit ribosomal RNA", at positions 356 to 896 of the family's 1533-position model. The record is from RNAcentral.